This is a long non-coding RNA of Pygocentrus nattereri (red-bellied piranha), 603 nucleotides long. RefSeq lists it as uncharacterized. Lineage: Eukaryota; Metazoa; Chordata; Actinopteri; Characiformes; Serrasalmidae. The record is from RefSeq and is a predicted model, not a curated record. The transcript is spliced from 3 exons.
GUUACAUGUAGGAAUUUGUGAGAUGAAGUCAAAACAGCACAGGACAGAAGUUAAAUAGCUAAAGUUAGUUAAUGAAGUUAGCUACGAACUGAUAACGUCAAGCUAACGGUCGCCUAACUCUAGCUAAGCUAAGCUAUAUUUUGAAAGAUAACGUUCGCUGGCUAAUGUAACGGUAACUUAAGACGAUUUUUUUGUGUAGGGGAGAGAGACAAUUUUUUUUGCCAGCGCUGAAUACUCCUGGAAAUAAUAUGAAAGGCUUUACUACACACAACAAUCUGCAUUUGUGGUUUUCAGUGACCAGAAAAUGAAGUUUGAGUGAAGCUCGGCCUGCUGUCCUGUCAGCCCUCGGACCAGAACUGGAAACUCACGCCUGUGAGACGUCUGCCUCCUCCGGCUUUGUGAGAGUAUAUUCACUGAGGCUUGCUGUAGUGCUGAUGUAUAUAGAGUCGCGCUUGAUAAGUGAAGCAUGAACUGGUAGGCAUUAUCAGAGAUGGAGAAAAUGUGGGGUGGGGCCUCAACCCUCUUUUUACCCCUGUAUCCAACCACAACAACCGGAUCAUAUACUGGAAGCCAUUUGUACGGGUUCACGGUGACACAGAACAA